ACAACGGCCCUUAUAAGGGCCCCAUAAUAUUCUACAAUAAUUAACGG
Molecule: non-coding RNA, 47 nt
Organism: Aedes aegypti (yellow fever mosquito)
Lineage: Eukaryota; Metazoa; Arthropoda; Insecta; Diptera; Culicidae
Source: Rfam